This 468-nucleotide ribosomal RNA is filed under the name uncultured bacterium. RNAcentral describes it as "partial 16S ribosomal RNA". It matches the Rfam family "Bacterial small subunit ribosomal RNA", at positions 28 to 507 of the family's 1533-position model. The record is from RNAcentral.
GACGAACGCUGGCGGCGUGCUUAACACAUGCAAGUCGAACGGAAAGGCCCUGCUUUUGUGGGGUGCUCGAGUGGCGAACGGGUGAGUAACACGUGAGUAACCUGCACUUGACUUUGGGAUAACUUCAGGAAACUGGGGCUAAUACCGGAUAGGAGCUCCUGCUGCAUGGUGGGGGUUGGAAAGUUUCGGCGGUUGGGGAUGGACUCGCGGCUUAUCAGCUUGUUGGUGGGGUAGUGGCUUACCAAGGCUUUGACGGGUAGCCGGCCUGAGAGGGUGACCGGCCACAUUGGGACUGGGAUACGGCCCAGACUCCUACGGGAGGCAGCAGUGGAGAAUAGUGCACAAUGGGCGGAAGCCUGAUGCAGCAACGCCGCGUGCGGGAUGACGGCCUUCGGGUUGUAUACCGCUUUCGCCUGUGACGAAGCGUGAGUGACGGUAAUGGGUAAAGAAGCACCGGCUAACUACGUG